GGCAUCUGUUGUUCCCUUCUUUGUGUUCAUGUGCAUUCAAUGUUUAGCUGCCACUUAUAGGUGAGAACAUGUAGUAUUUGGUUUUCUCUUUCGUUUAGCUCAUUUAGGAUAGUGGCCUCCAGCUCUAUCCACGUUCUGACAAAGGAUAUGAUCUGAGAGGUUGGCAUUUCUUCCUUGGUCCUUGAGAUAAAAGGAUUCUCAACCAGAAAACUAAAGGAUAAGCAAGAAAAGAGAUCUUUGGGCAUCUGUGACAAGAUUCUUUACCCAUCUUUGGAAACUUAUAAAGAAAAUAUUAGAACAAAGAAGAAUGAGGAAGGCACAAAACAGUUCCAGAACUUCUAAGCAACCAAAAGUAACUGAAAAGUCAACUGAAAAUAGUAGUAGCUAUUUUUUCUCAUAUUGUAAGAAUCCAGUUAGCUCAGACCAAAGGAAACUCCUUUUAAAUUUAGAGCCCACAGUUGAAACCUGUGAGGUCAACCAACUGAAAGUAAAUACAUGAUUAAAUAAGAAUUUCCACAGUUGGAAUUGUGUGCAAAGAUGAAUUUGACAUAGUACCUUUCAAAAGGGCCUUUAAGACAGAAAAGCAACACAAACUCUCCUUACAGGGUUGAUGACAGUUAGACAGAAACUGUAUGAAACUCAGCACAAUGAGAAAAGUUCAUUAAAGGAAAAUCGAGAAAAUGAUUAGUGUUGACUGUGAGCCUUGAAUAAUGGGCAGAAUUAUAUCCAGUGGAAAUAGUAGAAAGAGAUAGAAGAGGUUUUUUAAAAAAUAAAGGCACACAGCUUGAAACGCCUUGUACGCAGACCAGCCUCUUCCUCAGCACCCCAGGGAGCCUCCUGAUACCCCUAGCCAUGCUUUUGGAUCUAAUAUCCC
Long non-coding RNA from Homo sapiens (human), 874 nucleotides. The record is from Ensembl. Lineage: Eukaryota; Metazoa; Chordata; Mammalia; Primates; Hominidae.